Molecule: ribosomal RNA, 253 nt
Filed under: uncultured bacterium
Lineage: Bacteria
Description: partial 16S ribosomal RNA
Rfam family: Bacterial small subunit ribosomal RNA
Source: RNAcentral
GACAGAGGAGGCAAGCGUUAUCCGGAAUUAUUGGGCGUAAAGCGUCCGUAGGUGGUUUGGCAAGUCUGGGGUUAAAGCCCGGAGCCUAACUCCGGAUCGGCCCUGGAAACUGCCAGACUAGAGUAAGGUAGGGGUUGCGGGAAUUCCCGGUGUAGCGGUGAAAUGCGUAGAUAUCGGGAAGAACACCAGUGGCGAAAGCGCGCAACUGGGCCAUUACUGACACUGAGGGACGAAAGCUAGGGGAGCAAACCGG